Trifolium pratense (red clover) is the source of this 98-nucleotide small nuclear RNA. The record is from RefSeq and is a predicted model, not a curated record. Lineage: Eukaryota; Viridiplantae; Streptophyta; Magnoliopsida; Fabales; Fabaceae.
GUUCUUUGAGGACAUCUGAUAAAAUUGGAACGAUACAAAGAAGAUUAGCACAACCCUACGCAAGGAUGAUAUGGACAAAUUGAGUUACUAAAAUAUUU